Long non-coding RNA from Homo sapiens (human), 515 nucleotides. NCBI's taxonomy places the organism in Eukaryota, Metazoa, Chordata, Mammalia, Primates, Hominidae. The record is from Ensembl.
GAACAGAGAGGGAGCUUGUGCAAAUUCACAGAGAAAACUGUGGAGCCAGAAAAGACAUACUGUUCUUUCCAAUAUGAUGUGGAAGUCUGAAAGAUUAGGAAUUGUUUGGCUUGACGCUUCAUCAUAACUCCCACAGGCCCUUCAUUCCACAGUUGAAAUUCUUCUGGGAAAUCUAUUUGACUCUGCAUUUCACACGUCAAAAUCAUUUUCUUCCUUCCUGGUUGGGAAACAGCAAUUAAGGUUCUUCAGUUUAGCAAAAGUUACAAUAUGUCGAUGUCUUGCACAGCCUGUUGCUAAAUUCCCCCAAGACCUUGAGGUGCACUCCAUUCAGACAACUUCUCUUCCCUCUUAGGGUACUUUGCACAGGUUGGGCAACAGAAAAUGACUAAAAGAAAUACAAUAUUUAUUGGAUAGCAUAAAACCUAGUCUUUUUUUUCCAAUAAACUGACAGUUUUCUACACUCUUGCCUAACUCUUCCAAAUUUUCUUAACCAUCCUUCCCCUCCCGUAUGAUCA